This is a small nuclear RNA of Choloepus hoffmanni (Hoffmann's two-fingered sloth), 102 nucleotides long. Lineage: Eukaryota; Metazoa; Chordata; Mammalia; Pilosa; Megalonychidae. The record is from Ensembl.
AUGCUCACUUUGGCAGCACAUAUACCAAAACUGGAGCAAUACAGAGAUUAGCAUGCCCCUGUGUAAGAUGACAUGCAAAUUUGUGAAGUGUUUCAUAUUCUU